GACGAACGCUGGCGGCGUGCUUAACACAUGCAAGUCGAACGGAAAGGCCCUGCUUUUGUGGGGUGCUCGAGUGGCGAACGGGUGAGUAACACGUGAGUAACCUGCCCUUGACUUUGGGAUAACUUCAGGAAACUGGGGCUAAUACCGGAUAGGAGCUCCUGCUGCAUGGUGGGGGUUGGAAAGUUUCGGCGGUUGGGGAUGGACUCGCGGCUUAUCAGCUUGUUGGUGGGGUAGUGGCUUACCAAGGCUUUGACGGGUAGCCGGCCUGAGAGGGUGACCGGCCACAUGGGGACUGAGGUACGGCCCAGACUCGUACGGGAGGCAGAAGUGGGGAAUAUUGCACAAUGGGCGGAAGCCUGAUGCAGCAACGCCGCGUGCGGGAUGACGGCCUUCGGGUUGUAAACCGCUUUCGCCUGUAACGAAGCGUGAGUGACGGUAAUGGGUAAAGAAGCACCGGCUAACUACGUG
RNAcentral lists this ribosomal RNA (468 nucleotides) under uncultured bacterium. RNAcentral's name for it is "partial 16S ribosomal RNA". It matches the Rfam family "Bacterial small subunit ribosomal RNA", at positions 28 to 507 of the family's 1533-position model. The record is from RNAcentral.